RNAcentral lists this ribosomal RNA (450 nucleotides) under uncultured bacterium. RNAcentral describes it as "bacterial SSU rRNA". It matches the Rfam family "Bacterial small subunit ribosomal RNA", at positions 354 to 796 of the family's 1533-position model. The record is from RNAcentral.
GUGGGGAAUUUUGGACAAUGGGCGCAAGCCUGAUCCAGCAAUGCCGCGUGCAGGAAGAAGGCCUUCGGGUUGUAAACUGCUUUUGUACGGAACGAAACGGUCCUGGUUAAUACCUGGGGCUAAUGACGGUACCGUAAGAAUAAGCACCGGCUAACUACGUGCCAGCAGCCGCGGUAAUACGUAGGGUGCGAGCGUUAAUCGGAAUUACUGGGCGUAAAGCGUGCGCAGGCGGUGCUGUAAGACAGGCGUGAAAUCCCCGGGCUCAACCUGGGAAUUGCGCUUGUGACUGCAGUGCUGGAGUACGGCAGAGGGGGAUGGAAUUCCGCGUGUAGCAGUGAAAUGCGUAGAUAUGCGGAGGAACACCGAUGGCGAAGGCAGUCCCCUGGGCCUGUACUGACGCUCAUGCACGAAAGCGUGGGGAGCAAACAGGAUUAGAUACCCCGGUAGUCC